Molecule: RNA transcript, 1126 nt
Organism: Vicugna pacos (alpaca)
Lineage: Eukaryota; Metazoa; Chordata; Mammalia; Artiodactyla; Camelidae
Gene name: SAP domain-containing ribonucleoprotein
Source: RefSeq, a predicted model, not a curated record
GGCAGCGAUUGGCGGGCUGUGGCUGUCGGCGCCGAGGCGGGAGCUCCCGGAGACGGAGGCAGCGGGUGGGGGCCUGGCCGAGUGGAGGGGUAACAAGAUGGCGGCCGAGACGGUGGAGCUCCAUAAGCUGAAGCUUGCUGAACUAAAGCAGGAGUGUCUUGCUCGUGGUUUGGAGACCAAGGGAAUAAAACAAGAUCUCAUCAACAGGCUCCAGGCAUAUCUUGAAGAGCAUGCUGAAGAGGAGGCAAAUGAAGAAGAUGUACUGGGAGAUGAAACAGAGGAAGAAGAACCAAAGCCCAUAGAACUGCCUGUCAAAGAGGAAGAACCGCCUGAAAAAACUGUUGAUGUGGCAGCAGAGAAGAAAGUAGUAAAAAUUACAUCUGAAAUACCACAAACAGAGAGAAUGCAGAAGAGAGCUGAACGAUUCAAUGUACCUGUGAGCUUGGAGAGUAAGAAAGCUGCCAGAGCAGCUAGAUUUGGGAUUUCUUCCGUUCCGUCAAAAGGCCUGUCAUCUGACACUAAGCCUAUGGUUAACAUGGAUAAGCUAAAAGAAAGAGCUCAAAGAUUCGGUUUGAACGUCUCUUCAAUCUCCAGAAAGUCUGAGGAUGACGAGAAGCUGAAAAAGAGGAAGGAGCGAUUUGGGAUUGUCACAAGUUCAGCUGGAACAGGAACCACAGAGGAUACAGAGGCAAAGAAGAGGAAAAGAGCAGAGCGCUUUGGGAUUGCCUGAUGAAAAGCUCUUGAUGCUUUCUGUUCUCUGGUGGUUUCCAUCUCUGACUCUUCCUGGUCACAUGUAUGCCUAAAAUGCAGUCAUGUGCUGAGGUCCUGCCUCGCAGUGAGGGAGCAUGUACCCCAGGUUCAAGUGCUGGAUUGUGUCAUGUGACCAUCCCAAAACUCAGAGCACCCUAUGGCCAUCUUUGUCCUCUGUCACAUAACUUGAAAACUGCCUGAUGGCCUUUUUGCAGUGGUUCCCUCCAGGAAGCCUUGGUCUCAGUGAAGAAGUCCUUUCCCGGCAUUCCAGUGCCCCUGUCAGCCCCAUACUCCUCAGACACCCUUAACAAACAAAGGCAGUCACGCACGUGGUGUAACAAAUACACAAAGUAAAUAAUAAUUACACUAAUUUUGA